CGAUCGGACAUUUCCUGCACGAUUGAAAAUUGUAAACCCUAGCAGAGCUCCAGCCGUGCUCGCGAUCGGACAUUUCCUGCCCGCGGUCAUCCACGGAUCCGCCGCCGUCGCCUCCUCCAUCGACCUCUGCACCUCCUGCACCCUCCGCUUCCCCUCCCAGACCGGUAUAUCAAGGAAGGUAGCACGGUGAGUGUGAUGGGUGUUGUCCAGAGGAACGACAAUGUGCUUAUGAUUGUUCCACCGCCCGAGCCAUUGACUACAGGCUGCCAGUGGGGUCAAUGCAUCUUCCCAGUAAGUUUGGAUGGGAUUGUCUUGAGAUGUGAAGAUACCUCAAAAAUUGACGUAAUACCCGUGUGACCUGUGUCUUGUCUUGAGCAAAGACUUUGUUUGUCUUAAGCCUCUUUUCCGUCGGGCAAAAGUUAAUUUGUUGGCGCUAUUGGUAUUCAAUGGUGGUGGUGGUGUUUGUCAAGUGAUAUGUUGAAUCAGUCUGUGGGAUGGUUUUUUUUUUUUUUUUGUGAAUAGCUUUCAAGAGAUUCUUUCUUUGCUAUCAAACCUUAUUUUUACUAGGGGAGUCUUAAAACUUUUGUAGUGGGAGGCGGGGUUGGGUGGGCUUUUCCAUGUAAUUUGGGAGAAUUUGAAGGAUGGGUCCGGGGGGUAAAUUUUUAUGUGGUUUGGAGGCAACAGCACUUUGUGUUUUAUGUUAUUAAGGUCGGGGUUGGGGGUGGGGGAACGGAGUGGAAAGUUAUGGAGAAGCCUGUCAUUGAGCUUUAAUAUCAGGAAGUAUAUCCAUUUUGGUGUUUUCGGUUUGUUCAUCUUUCCAGAGUUUUGCACCUAUCUCUGUUCUGAAUGUUUUAUUUUGAUGCUAAGGUCCCUUCGAUUCACAUACAAUACAAAGUUGUAGUAGCACGAAGAUCCCAGUGGUUUUGUUUUGGCACUGUGUAAUAUAUCAUUUGGCCUUUUUUCUCUUUUUCUUUUUUUCCUGGUCAUCAGUAUGUAGCCUGUAUAUUCACUUUCUGCAAAUUUAGUUCUAUCUGUUGGAAGCAA
Punica granatum (pomegranate) is the source of this 1044-nucleotide non-coding RNA. NCBI's taxonomy places the organism in Eukaryota, Viridiplantae, Streptophyta, Magnoliopsida, Myrtales, Lythraceae. The record is from RefSeq and is a predicted model, not a curated record.